GGCUGAGGAUGAACGCUGGCGGCGUGCCUAAUACAUGCAAGUCGAACGAAACUUCUUUAUCACCGAGUGCUUGCACUCACCGAUAAAGAGUUGAGUGGCGAACGGGUGAGUAACACGUGGGCAACCUGCCCAAAAGAGGGGGAUAACACUUGGAAACAGGUGCUAAUACCGCAUAACCAUAGUUACCGCAUGGUAACUAUGUAAAAGGUGGCUAUGCUACCGCUUUUGGAUGGGCCCGCGGCGCAUUAGCUAGUUGGUGAGGUAAAGGCUUACCAAGGCAAUGAUGCGUAGCCGAACUGAGAGGUUGAUCGGCCACAUUGGGACUGAGACACGGCCCAAACUCCUACGGGAGGCAGCAGUAGGGAAUCUUCCACAAUGGGCGAAAGCCUGAUGGAGCAACGCCGCGUGGGUGAAGAAGGUCUUCGGAUCGUAAAACCCUGUUGUUAGAGAAGAAAGUGCGUGAGAGUAACUGUUCACGUUUCGACGGUAUCUAACCAGAAAGCCACGGCUAACUACGUGCCAGCAGCCGCGGUAAUACGUAGGUGGCAAGCGUUAUCCGGAUUUAUUGGGCGUAAAGGGAACGCAGGCGGUCUUUUAAGUCUGAUGUGAAAGCCUUCGGCUUAACCGGAGUAGUGCAUUGGAAACUGGGAGACUUGAGUGCAGAAGAGGAGAGUGGAACUCCAUGUGUAGCGGUGAAAUGCGUAGAUAUAUGGAAGAACACCAGUGGCGAAAGCGGCUCUCUGGUCUGUAACUGACGCUGAGGUUCGAAAGCGUGGGUAGCAAACAGGAUUAGAUACCCUGGUAGUCCACGCCGUAAACGAUGAAUGCUAAGUGUUGGAGGGUUUCCGCCCUUCAGUGCUGCAGCUAACGCAAUAAGCAUUCCGCCUGGGGAGUACGACCGCAAGGUUGAAACUCAAAGGAAUUGACGGGGGCCCGCACAAGCGGUGGAGCAUGUGGUUUAAUUCGAAGCAACGCGAAGAACCUUACCAGGUCUUGACAUCUUCUGACAAUCCUAGAGAUAGGACUUUCCCUUCGGGGACAGAAUGACAGGUGGUGCAUGGUUGUCGUCAGCUCGUGUCGUGAGAUGUUGGGUUAAGUCCCGCAACGAGCGCAACCCUUAUUGUUAGUUGCCAGCAUUAAGUUGGGCACUCUAGCAAGACUGCCGGUGACAAACCGGAGGAAGGUGGGGAUGACGUCAAAUCAUCAUGCCCCUUAUGACCUGGGCUACACACGUGCUACAAUGGACGGUACAACGAGUCCGCGAGACCGCGAGGUUUAGCAAAUCUCUUAAAGCCGUUCUCAGUUCGGAUUGUAGGCUGCAACUCGCCUACAUGAAGUCGGAAUCGCUAGUAAUCGCGGAUCAGCAUGCCGCGGUGAAUACGUUCCCGGGCCUUGUACACACCGCCCGUCACACCAUGAGAGUUUGUAACACCCAAAGCCGGUGGGGUAACCUUUUGGAGCCAGCCGUCUAAGGUGGGACAGAUGAUUGGGGUG
This 1494-nucleotide ribosomal RNA is filed under the name Ligilactobacillus murinus. RNAcentral's name for it is "Lactobacillus murinus 16S ribosomal RNA". It matches the Rfam family "Bacterial small subunit ribosomal RNA". The record is from RNAcentral. Lineage: Bacteria; Bacillati; Bacillota; Bacilli; Lactobacillales; Lactobacillaceae.